RNAcentral lists this ribosomal RNA (492 nucleotides) under uncultured bacterium. Its description in RNAcentral is "partial 16S ribosomal RNA". It matches the Rfam family "Bacterial small subunit ribosomal RNA", at positions 29 to 507 of the family's 1533-position model. The record is from RNAcentral.
AGUGAACGCUGGCGGUAGGCCUAACACAUGCAAGUCGAACGGCAGCACAGUAAGAGCUUGCUCUUACGGGUGGCGAGUGGCGGACGGGUGAGGAAUACAUCGGAAUCUACUUUUUCGUGGGGGAUAACGUAGGGAAACUUACGCUAAUACCGCAUACGACCUACGGGUGAAAGCAGGGGAUCUUCGGACCUUGCGCGAUUGAAUGAGCCGAUGUCGGAUUAGCUAGUUGGCGGGGUAAAGGCCCACCAAGGCGACGAUCCGUAGCUGGUCUGAGAGGGUGGUCCGGCACACUGGAAGUGAGACACGGCCCAGACUCCGACGGGAGGAAGCAGUGGGGAAUAUUGGACGAUGGGCGAGAGCCUGAUCCAGCCAUACCGCGUGGGUGAAGAAGGCCUUCGGGUUGUAAAGCCCUUUUGUUGGGAAAGAAAAGCAGCAGGUUAAUCCCCCGCUGUUCUGACGGUACCCAAAGAAUAAGCACCGGCUAACUUCGUG